UGGCAAUGAUCUUAAAUUUAAGGCUUGUUUCUCAAAUCAUUCGCAGUUGCCUAGCUUUCACCCUGCCAGGCUGAGAGCUAAUGCUGCUAAUUCCUUCCUUGGAUGUCAGAGCCU
RNAcentral lists this small nucleolar RNA (114 nucleotides) under Triticum aestivum (bread wheat). Its description in RNAcentral is "Small nucleolar RNA SNORD14". It matches the Rfam family "Small nucleolar RNA SNORD14". From Rfam's summary of the family: U14 small nucleolar RNA (U14 snoRNA) is required for early cleavages of eukaryotic precursor rRNAs. In yeasts, this molecule possess a stem-loop region (known as the Y-domain) which is essential for function. The record is from Rfam by way of RNAcentral. RNAcentral also lists the same sequence under 1 other name. Lineage: Eukaryota; Viridiplantae; Streptophyta; Magnoliopsida; Poales; Poaceae.